Non-coding RNA from Triticum aestivum (bread wheat), 132 nucleotides. The record is from Rfam. Lineage: Eukaryota; Viridiplantae; Streptophyta; Magnoliopsida; Poales; Poaceae.
AUGAUACUCCCCAUCCCAAAAUUUUUGUUUUAAAUUUGUCUAAAUACGGAUGUAUCAAGACACGUUUUAGUAUUAGAUACAUCCGUAUCUAGGCAAAUCUAAGACAAGAAUUUUGGACGGAGGGAGUACUAC